GAUGAAGAACGCAGCGAAAUGCGAUAAGUAAUGUGAAUUGCAGAAUUCAGUGAAUCAUCGAAUCUUUGAACGCACAUUGCGCCCGCCAGUAUUCUGGCGGGCAUGCCUGUUCGAGCGUCAUUACAACCCUCAGGCCCCCGGGCCUGGCGUUGGGGAUCGGCGGAAGCCCCUGCGGGCACAACGCCGUCCCCCAAAUACAGUGGCGGUCCCGCCGCAGCUUCCAUUGCGUAGUAGCUAACACCUCGCAACUGGAGAGCGGCGCGGCCACGCCGUAAAACACCCAACUUCUGAAUGUUGACCUCGAAUCAGGUAGGAAUACCCGCUGAACUUAAGCAUAUCAAUAAGCGGAGGA
RNAcentral lists this unclassified non-coding RNA (352 nucleotides) under soil metagenome. RNAcentral's name for it is "partial contains 5.8S ribosomal RNA, internal transcribed spacer 2, and large subunit ribosomal RNA". The stretch from base 1 to 120 matches the Rfam family "5.8S ribosomal RNA", at positions 35 to 154 of the family's 154-position model. The record is from RNAcentral.